GUUCCUGACUAGCUCAACUGGGAAGAGCAUGGCGUUAACGUCACCAGGUUUAGGGGUUCGAUUCCCACUGGGACCA
Molecule: non-coding RNA, 76 nt
Organism: Merluccius polli (Benguela hake)
Lineage: Eukaryota; Metazoa; Chordata; Actinopteri; Gadiformes; Merlucciidae
Source: the annotation of a GenBank genome assembly